ACAGGCGCGGAACGGAAAGCCGCGUGCAAGCGAGGUACCGGACUGGUAGGAAAAACCGCCAGCCAACGGGAAGACGUGAUGCGGACCGAAAUUUAGUAGGGAAGUGUGUGAGCCAGCUGUCAAGAAAAGCCGCUAUUGUGUAUACAGUACCCGUACCGUAAACCGACACAGGUGGAUGAGGAGAGAAUCCUAAGGCCGGCGGAAGAAGUAUUGUCAAGGAACUCGGCAAAAUGACCCUGUAACUUCGGGAGAAAGGGUGCCUCGAAAGAGGCCGCAGAGAAUUGGCCCAAGCAACUGUUUAGCAAAAACACAGGUCUAUGCGAAACCGAAAGGUGAGGUAUAUGGGCUGACGCCUGCCCGGUGCUGGAAGGUUAAGGGGAGAUGUUAGAGCAAUCGAAGCAUCGAACUUAAGCCCCAGUAAACGGCGGCCGUAACGAUAACGGUCCUAAGGUAGCGAAAUUCCUUGUCGGGUAAGUUCCGACCCGCACGAAAGGCGUAAUGAUUUGGGCGCUGUCUCGACAAUACAUCCGGUGAAAUUGAAGUACCAGUGAAGAUGCUGGUUACCCGCGCCAGGACGGAAAGACCCCAUGGAGCUUUACUCCAGCUUGAUACUGGGAUUCGGUAUUGCAUGUACAGGAUAGGUGGGAGGCUAAGAAGCAUGGACGCCAGUCUAUGUGGAGCCGCUGUUGGGAUACCACCCUUGCGGUAUUGGAUUUCUAACCAGCCGCCGUGAAACCGGCGGUGGGACAAUGUCAGGCGGGGAGUUUGACUGGGGCGGUCGCCUCCGAAAGGGUAUCGGAGGCGCCCAAAGGUUCCCUCAGAAUGGUUGGAAACCAUUCGAAGAGUGCAAAGGCAGAAGGGAGCUUGACUGUGACACCGACGGGUGGAGCAGGUACGAAAGUAGGGCUUAGUGAUCCGGUGGUAUUAAGUGGGAAUGCCAUCGCUCAACGGAUAAAAGCUACCCUGGGAUAACAGGCUUAUCACUCCCAAGAGUUCACAUCGACGGAGUGGUUUGGCACCUCGAUGUCGGCUCAUCGCAUCCUGGGGCUGUAGUAGGUCCCAAGGGUUGGGCUGUUCGCCCAUUAAAGCGGUACGCGAGCUGGGUUCAGAACGUCGUGAGACAGUUCGGUCCCUAUCCGGCGUGGGCGCAGGAUAUUUGAGAGGAGCUGUCCUUAGUACGAGAGGACCGGGAUGGACUGACCUCUGGUGCACCGGUUGUUCCGCCAGGAGCAUAGCCGGGUAGCCAAGUCGGGAAGGGAUAAACGCUGAAGGCAUCUAAGCGUGAAGCCCCCCUCAAGAUGAGAUAUCCCAUGCGAAAGCGAUAAGACCCCUUGAAGACGACGAGGUAGAUAGGUCAGAGGUGGAAGUGCAGUAAUGCAUGGAGCUGACUGAUACUAAUAGGUCGAAGGCUUAACU
This 1416-nucleotide ribosomal RNA is filed under the name metagenome. RNAcentral describes it as "bacterial LSU rRNA". It matches the Rfam family "Bacterial large subunit ribosomal RNA", at positions 1487 to 2925 of the family's 2925-position model. The record is from RNAcentral.